UACGUAGGGUGCAAGCGUUAAUCGGAAUUACUGGGCGUAAAGCGUGCGCAGGCGGUUUUGUAAGUCUGACGUGAAAUCCCCGGGCUCAACCUGGGAAUUGCGUUGGAGACUGCAAGGCUGGAGUCUGGCAGAGGGGGGUAGAAUUCCACGUGUAGCAGUGAAAUGCGUAGAGAUGUGGAGGAACACCGAUGGCGAAGGCAGCCCCCUGGGACAAGACUGACGCUCAUGCACGAAAGCGUGGGGAGCAAACAGG
Molecule: ribosomal RNA, 253 nt
Filed under: uncultured bacterium
Lineage: Bacteria
Description: partial 16S ribosomal RNA
Rfam family: Bacterial small subunit ribosomal RNA
Source: RNAcentral